GGCUCAGAAUGAACGCUGGCGGCGUGCUUAACACAUGCGGGUCGCACGAGAACGCUUCAGCUUGCUGAAGCAAGUAAAGUGGCGCACGGGUGAGUAACGCGUGGGUAAUCUACCCUUGAAUUGGGGAUAACCCGCCGAAAGGCGGGCUAAUACCGAAUGACAUCUUGAAAACUUAUGCUUUCAGGAUCAAAGGUGGCCUCUACAUGUAAGCUAUUGUUUGGGGAUGAGCCCGCGUACCAUUAGCUUGUUGGUAGGGUAAUGGCCUACCAAGGCUACGAUGGUUAGCUGGUCUGAGAGGAUGAUCAACCACACUGGAACUGACACACGGUCCAGACUCCUACGGGAGGCAGCAGUGAGGAAUUUUGCGCAAUGGGGGAAACCCUGACGCAGCAACGCCGCGUGAGUGAUGAAGGCUUUCGGGUCGUAAAGCUCUGUCAAGUGGGAAGAAACCAUAUAGUAUUAAUACUGCUAUAUGUUGACGGUACCACUGAAGGAAGCACCGGCUAACUCCGUGCCAGCAGCCGCGGUAAUACGGGGGGUGCGAGCGUUAUUCGGAAUUACUGGGCGUAAAGAGCGCGUAGGCGGUCUUUUAAGUCAGGUGUGAAAGCCCGGGGCUCAACCCCGGAAGUGCACUUGAAACUAAGAGACUUGAGUAUGGGAGAGGGAAGUGGAAUUCCUGGUGUAGCGGUGAGAUG
This 695-nucleotide ribosomal RNA is filed under the name uncultured Desulfobulbaceae bacterium. RNAcentral's name for it is "bacterial SSU rRNA". It matches the Rfam family "Bacterial small subunit ribosomal RNA", at positions 21 to 688 of the family's 1533-position model. The record is from RNAcentral. Lineage: Bacteria; Pseudomonadati; Thermodesulfobacteriota; Desulfobulbia; Desulfobulbales; Desulfobulbaceae.